CAUAGGUGCACUCAAAUGCC
This 20-nucleotide microRNA is filed under the name Gallus gallus (chicken). RNAcentral's name for it is "microRNA Ros-gga". Lineage: Eukaryota; Metazoa; Chordata; Aves; Galliformes; Phasianidae. The record is from RNAcentral.